This 253-nucleotide ribosomal RNA is filed under the name uncultured Rikenellaceae bacterium. RNAcentral's name for it is "partial 16S ribosomal RNA". It matches the Rfam family "Bacterial small subunit ribosomal RNA", at positions 524 to 776 of the family's 1533-position model. Lineage: Bacteria; Pseudomonadati; Bacteroidota; Bacteroidia; Bacteroidales; Rikenellaceae. The record is from RNAcentral.
UACGGAGGAUGCGAGCGUUAUCCGGAUUUAUUGGGUUUAAAGGGUGCGUAGGCGGUUUGAUAAGUUAGAGGUGAAAUGUCGGGGCUCAACCCCGAAACUGCCUCUAAUACUGUUGGACUAGAGAAUAGUUGCGGUAGGCGGAAUGCGUGGUGUAGCGGUGAAAUGCAUAGAUAUCACGCAGAACUCCGAUUGCGAAGGCAGCUUACUAAGCCAUAACUGACACUGAAGCACGAAAGCGUGGGGAUCAAACAGG